RNAcentral lists this ribosomal RNA (483 nucleotides) under uncultured bacterium. RNAcentral describes it as "bacterial SSU rRNA". It matches the Rfam family "Bacterial small subunit ribosomal RNA", at positions 29 to 521 of the family's 1533-position model. The record is from RNAcentral.
AAUGAACGUUGGCGGCGUGGAUUAGGCAUGCAAGUCGCGCGAGAAAUUUCCUUCGGGAAAUGGACAGCGGCGGAAGGGAGAGGAAUAAGUAGAAAUCUGCCCUCGGGACGGGGAUAGCGGUGGGAAACUGCCGGUAAUACCCGAUAACAUCUUUGGAUCAAAUGGUGUGAUUCCGCCUGAGGAUGAGUCUACUUCCUAUUAGCUAGUUGGUGGGGUAAUGGCCUACCAAGGCAACGAUGGGUAGCGGGUGUGAGAGCACGACCCGCCUCACUGGGACUGAGACACUGCCCAGACACCUACGGGUGGCUGCAGUCGAGAAUCUUCGGCAAUGGGGGAAACCCUGACCGAGCGACGCCGCGUGCGGGAUGAAGGCCCUUGGGUUGUAAACCGCUGUCGUAAGGGAACAAAUCCAUAGGGGUACUCCCCUAUGGUUGAGUGAUCUUAGGAGGAAGGACGGGCUAAGUUCGUGCCAGCAGCCGCGGU